RNAcentral lists this ribosomal RNA (489 nucleotides) under uncultured bacterium. RNAcentral's name for it is "bacterial SSU rRNA". It matches the Rfam family "Bacterial small subunit ribosomal RNA", at positions 253 to 754 of the family's 1533-position model. The record is from RNAcentral.
UGAGGUAAUGGCUCACCAAGGCGACGACGGGUAGCCGGCCUGAGAGGGCGACCGGCCACACUGGGACUGAGACACGGCCCAGACUCCUACGGGAGGCAGCAGUGGGGAAUAUUGCACAAUGGGCGAAAGCCUGAUGCAGCGACGCCGCGUGAGGGAUGACGGCCUUCGGGUUGUAAACCUCUUUCAGCAGGGAAGAAGCGAAAGUGACGGUACCUGCAGAAGAAGCGCCGGCUAACUACGUGCCAGCAGCCGCGGUAAUACGUAGGGCGCAAGCGUUGUCCGGAAUUAUUGGGCGUAAAGAGCUCGUAGGCGGCUUGUCACGUCGGGUGUGAAAGCCCGGGGCUUAACCCCGGGUCUGCAUUCGAUACGGGCUAGCUAGAGUGUGGUAGGGGAGAUCGGAAUUCCUGGUGUAGCGGUGAAAUGCGCAGAUAUCAGGAGGAACACCGGUGGCGAAGGCGGAUCUCUGGGCCAUUACUGACGCUGAGGAGC